Salvia miltiorrhiza (redroot sage) is the source of this 2112-nucleotide long non-coding RNA. RefSeq lists it as uncharacterized. The transcript is spliced from 5 exons. Lineage: Eukaryota; Viridiplantae; Streptophyta; Magnoliopsida; Lamiales; Lamiaceae. The record is from RefSeq and is a predicted model, not a curated record.
GUACAAAUACAAUGUGAAAAGGAGUCUUCGUUUACUCGAUUUCUGGUUGAUGGGUGGAGUCAAUACCCGAACCAAUCACCCUUGCAGAUUAAUGAAAAAUCCUUUUGCCGUCUUCAUUAAUCGGCAAGGAUAAAUUUGAGCAUCAUUUAGGACUGCGCCUUUGAUCCUUUCAACCGUGCAUUUGAUGAGGCUGUUCACCGUUGCAACGGAACCCAAGGAGAGCUUCGCAGUGGGAACGGAAUCGACCAAUAUCUGAAAGGCGACGGUCAGCAGGGAUCCGACCUCACUGAUUCCACCCGUUUGGUCGUUGGCUCCAUCGGGUAGUAUGGCAAAACCCGAUGGCAAGAGGGCCACGUAGUCGGGAUCUCCACCACUCAAGACCACGUUCAUGGCUAUGAUGUCUACGGGAGCAUAGAUAACGUAGGAACCGGUGGCAUCGCUGCAGCUCUCCUGCAAUAUCAGCAUAUUGCUCUGGCUCGAGUUGGCACUCUGCAUUUCCGAUUUUGGACAGUGAGAGAGGAUAACAUCACGAUGCAACGACAAGCAAGGUUGAUCAUAACUUACAUUAACACGAAGAAGAGAGACGGAGUUUCCCGGAUCACGGCCAUUGGCAAUGUGAGCCAUUUCUUGAACAAGCCCACCAUUCGAAAGAAUGUCCCACUUGUGAUCAAGGACAAGAGAUAUUAGGAAGUCGAAGACUCGCUUUGGUGGGACUGGGAGCCAGAACGAGGUGGCAGCACUGAGCACGAUCCCGGGAGGUCUCCCGGGGUCAUCCAUGCUCUUCCUAGUCAUCACCCGAACAUCAUCGGCUCCACUUCCCGACAGCGUUGUCCACGUGUGCGCAGUUGAGGCGCCCACGCCUGUGCAGAAGCUCAUCACCAUUCUCUCAGCAAGCUUCAGCAUGCUCUUUCUACCUUUUGGAGAAGAUAUGACUGCACAAAUUGUCGCUCACAUUGGCGGUCUAGUAUUGCCACCCAUCGCCGGGCUCCAAAGGCAAGGCCGGAAUUCACCAACGGUUUGUAGAUAUUAUGGACAGCUCUAUCAUCAACCUCUACAUGUUCAACCCAUGUUACCUUGAAACGAGUAGGGAAAAAAGCAAGCUUGUUAGGCUAAAGCUCGAGCCUCAUGAAAUCAGGUCUCAGGUUGUCCAGAGAGACAUCAACCACUGCCCAAGUUCCAUCGCCAUGUUGCUUGCAGUAUCUCACGAAGUAAAUCUCUCGAGUUGGGACCAACGGAGAAGGGACUUGGAACUCGGCAGUCAUCUGAAAUCAUAAAAUGAGAUAAGAUCUCUUCAAUCGUUUGUUAUAUUAUUUUUGUUUAGACACAUAUUUUGGCUCAGAUCUCAUAUUAUCUUACCACUUGCAGAGCUCCAUUGUAGUUUCCCGCGACGCCGGUGGACAGCACUUCCAAAGUCAUUGCUCUUGAAACAAUACUCGAAAACACACUCGACCAUUGAUUCUGCAAAUAUCAUAUCAAGAUUCAUGAUAUCAUUCAUGAUUUCGAAAAACAUGAAGCAAAUUAUCUGCAGGUGCAAGAAGAAAAUAAUCCUACUGUAUCCAUGAGGAUCUCGACCAGGUUGAUGUGGUUCAUGAUCACCACAGCCGACUCUCUCGAAGCUUCGGAUUUCAACCCCAACGGCUUCGGCCCGAUCCCUCGUGGGAACGUCCUCACGUACUCGUCUUCACUCAACACUUCGCCCAAACCAUCGGUGUUUUGAACCCACAGAGGCUCCCCGGUUUGAGCCAUUCUGAUGAGCUCCUCCAUGGCUGCAACGGCUAGCUCGAUGAUUAUCGGCUUGUCAGCAUCGGACGGCCCAGAUACCGACCUGAGAAGAUCCGAAGCUCCGAAGAUCUCACCGGACAAGCCGGUGUUUGCACCAAAACUGCCCACGCCGAGAUCAAGCGAACGCGAUGCUCCAGAUGAAAGCUGAGGGUAUGAUAGCAUUGGCUUUCCCACAUACUUAGCAGCAAUCCCAGAUAUCCUAUCAAUCUGAGAAGAGAAUUCAUACAUUAACUAUACAAAUGAAGAAGAAGAAAAAAAGAAUUCACUCUCAUGUUCGAAAUUUGAUCAUUUCCACAAUAUUAUAGUUUCAUUUCUAACUUUCCAAACAAA